AAAAUAAUCCUACCCUUUGUGAAUUUUGUUUGUUUGAAUAAUUUUUUUUUUUAAAAAAUUAUCGGAGUCUUUCCCUUUAGAGUUUGCUUUUGAGUUUGUAAAAGAAUUCGAAAACAUCUAAAGGGGAUGGUCAAUAAUUUUUUUUGAAAAAAGACAUUUUUUAAAAUUAAACUUUUUGUAUUCAUUUGUCUAAAAAUUAUUUUUAUAAUAUAAAAACAACUUUUGACAAUGGAUCUCUUGGUUCUCGCAACGAUGAAGAACGCAGCAAAAUGCGAUAAGUAGUGUGAAUUGCAGAAUACGUGAAUCAUCGAAUCUUUGAACGCAUAUUGCACUUUUUUAGUUUACUAAAAAAGUAUGUCUGUUUGAGUAUCAGUAAAAUAUUCUCAUAAAAAUCAUUGUGUAUUUUUAUGGUUAUGAGUGUUUUACAACGAUACAAGUUGUUUCACUUUAAAUUUUUUUUAAUAUUGAAAUUUUUCUAAUUUUAAUAAUUAAAAUUGGAUAAAAUUUUCCCGUCAAAAGGAAUAACCUAAACAAUUUUAAAUGAUUAAUUUUAGCAAAAUUUUCGUAAAAAAGGGAAAAUUUUUAUUAAAAUAACUUGAUCUCAAAUCAGAUAAGAGUACCCGCUGAACUUAAGCAUAUCAAUAAGCGGAGGAAAAGAAACUAACAAGGAUUCCCUUAGUAACGGCGAGUGAAGCGGGAAGAGCUCAAAUUUGAAUCUUCAAGGUUUUACCUUGACGAAUUGUAGUUUAAAGAAGUGUUUUCUGCUGAAGUUUUGGUAAAGUUCUUUGGAAUAGGACAUCAUAGAGGGUGAGAAUCCCGUAUUUGACCAUUAUUUUCAGCUUUGUGAUACACUUUCAAAGAGUCGGAUUGUUUGGGAAUGCAGUCCAAAAUGGGUGGUAAAUUUCAUCUAAAGCUAAAUAUUGGCGAGAGACCGAUAGCGAACAAGUACCGUGAGGGAAAGAUGAAAAGAACUUUGAAAAGAGAGUUAAACAGUACGUGAAAUUGUCAAAAGGGAAGCGUAUGACACCAGUGUUGUUUUCUCGAAAUCAAUUAAAAAUGGCUCGAUUUUGUAUUGCUGAGACCUUAAAAGCUCACUGUACAUUUUUCGUGUCUUUUUUAAUGCACUUUUCGUUUAACAAGUCAACAUCAGUUUCUUUUGUUGUAAAAGGGUCAUUGGAAGGUGGCUUUCUUUUCGGAGAAAGUGUUUAUAGCCUUUGGCCUCUGCAAUCGGAGAGACUGAGGUCUGCAGCGUAGACUCUUCGGGGUUAGAUACAUUUGUGCUAAGUUAUAGCUUUUUAUAGACAACUUGUUGACUAUAAUUAGUCUUGUAGCUUACUCGCUUAUGCUAUUUUACCUACGCUUAGGAUG
This 1368-nucleotide unclassified non-coding RNA is filed under the name uncultured Neocallimastigales. RNAcentral describes it as "partial contains internal transcribed spacer 1, 5.8S ribosomal RNA, internal transcribed spacer 2, and large subunit ribosomal RNA". The stretch from base 597 to 1368 matches the Rfam family "Eukaryotic large subunit ribosomal RNA", at positions 1 to 634 of the family's 3401-position model. Lineage: Eukaryota; Fungi; Neocallimastigomycota; Neocallimastigomycetes; Neocallimastigales. The record is from RNAcentral.